AAGUCGUAACAAGGUUUCCGUAGGUGAACCUGCGGAAGGAUCAUUACAAUACUUUUACAAGUAUCAACCCAAAUUGUUGCACUGAAUGAGCGUCCGAUAGGAAAUACAAAAGUGGUUUGAGAGAAUUGGCGGCUUUGUGAAGUGCAUCGGCAUUUCGGUCAGUUCUCGAUUUCUCACAAGCAAUUGUGAGAAAGCCCUUUUUUUCCUAGUUCGCGUAUUUUCUCAAUUUUUUUUUAACCCCUUUCACCAAAUUACAAUUUAAACAACGAUUGAACUGAAUUCGAAGGAUGCUGAAAAGCGUCUAAUUCGAUUCUAUCUUUACGAAACGUAAGAACAACUCUUAACAACGGAUAUCUUGGCUCUC
RNAcentral lists this unclassified non-coding RNA (364 nucleotides) under fungal sp. RNAcentral's name for it is "partial internal transcribed spacer region". The stretch from base 1 to 46 matches the Rfam family "Eukaryotic small subunit ribosomal RNA", at positions 1786 to 1831 of the family's 1831-position model. Lineage: Eukaryota; Fungi. The record is from RNAcentral.